GAUGAACGCUGGCGGCGUGCCUAACACAUGCAAGUCGAGCGAAGCGAUUUAGCGGAAGUUUUCGGAUGGAAGUUAAAUUGACUGAGCGGCGACGGGUGAGUAACGCGUGGGUAACCUGCCUCAUACAGGGGGAUAACAGUUAGAAAUGACUGCUAAUACCGCAUAAGCGCACAGCAUCGCAUGAUGCAGUGCGAAAAACUCCGGUAGUAUGAGAUGGACCCGCGUCUGAUUAGCUAGUUGGUGAGGUAACGGCUCACCAAGGCGACGAUCAGUAGCCGACCUGAGAGGGUGAUCGGCCACAUUGGGACUGAGAUACGGCCCAG
RNAcentral lists this ribosomal RNA (323 nucleotides) under uncultured bacterium. RNAcentral's name for it is "bacterial SSU rRNA". It matches the Rfam family "Bacterial small subunit ribosomal RNA", at positions 28 to 334 of the family's 1533-position model. The record is from RNAcentral.